GUGCCACACAGCAACACCCUUUAGUCCCGGCUGGUAAAACCAGUCGCGACUAAAUGGUCCUUUAGUUUUUUUAUUUUCUUUUCAGUUUUGUUUUUAGUAUUGGUUAUUCAUAGGUUUUCCAAUAUGUAUUAGCAGCAUAGGAUAAUAAGCUUAUUUUAUGCAUAUAUAAUUGAAUUAUAUAACUACAUAUAUAUAUAUAAAUAUAUGCACAUAAAUAUAUAGAAGUUGUUCUCCAAAUCUAUUACUGCACAAGUUGUACUCCAAAGUUAGUACUCUAAGCCUAUUACAAGUUGUGCUUUAUCAUCCAAAGAUCUACAGGGCAUACAAAUGAUCAUCAUUGUUUGGAAUCAUCGUCUCGUUAGGAUUAUAGUGGAACUUGCUGCUUGGAUUUAUGACUUGUUCCUAAAGAAAUUCGGCUAUUGCCUUUUGUAUUGCUUGAAGUUGUUCAUGUUGCAUGAGUUUUUGCUUCAACCAUUCAGUCUUCAAUUUGAACUAAAAGAAGAUAUUAGUUAUAUCAAGAUUAUUAAUAGUAAUUCAAG
Molecule: long non-coding RNA, 539 nt
Filed under: Sorghum bicolor (sorghum)
Lineage: Eukaryota; Viridiplantae; Streptophyta; Magnoliopsida; Poales; Poaceae
Description: long non-coding RNA (SBIC_LNC017259)
Source: RNAcentral